Molecule: ribosomal RNA, 460 nt
Filed under: uncultured bacterium
Lineage: Bacteria
Description: partial 16S ribosomal RNA
Rfam family: Bacterial small subunit ribosomal RNA
Source: RNAcentral
CCUACGGGAGGCAGCAGUGAGGAAUAUUGGUCAAUGGACGAAAGUCUGAACCAGCCAUGCCGCGUGCAGGAUGACGGCUCUAUGAGUUGUAAACUGCUUUUGUAUGAGGGCAAACACCCCUACGUUCAGGGGCUUGAAAGAAUAAUACGAAUAAGGACCGGCUAAUGCCGGGCCAGCAGCCCCGGUAAGACGGAGGAGCCAACCGUUACCCGGAUUUAUUGGGUUUAAAGGGUGCGUAGGCGGUUUGAUAAGUUAGAGGUGAAAUACCGGUGCUCAACACCGGAACUGCCUCUAAAACUGUUGAACUAGAGAGUAGUUGCGGUAGGCGGAAUGUAUGGUGUAGCGGUGAAAUGCUUAGAGAUCAUACAGAACACCGAUUGCGAAGGCAGCUUACCAAACUAUAUCUGACGUUGAGGCACGAAAGCGUGGGUAGCAAACAGGAUUAGAUACCCGGGUAGUC